RNAcentral lists this ribosomal RNA (263 nucleotides) under uncultured bacterium. Its description in RNAcentral is "partial 16S ribosomal RNA". It matches the Rfam family "Bacterial small subunit ribosomal RNA", at positions 334 to 613 of the family's 1533-position model. The record is from RNAcentral.
UUUACCUACGGGAGGCAGCAGUGGGGAAUAUUGCACAAUGGGGGAAACCCUGAUGCAGCAACGCCGCGUGAGUGAAGAAGUAUUUCGGUAUGUAAAGCUCUAUCAGCAGGGAAGAAAAAAGACGGUACCUGACUAAGAAGCCCCGGCUAACUACGUGCCAGCAGCCGCGGUAAUACGUAGGGGGCAAGCGUUAUCCGGAUUUACUGGGUGUAAAGGGAGCGUAGACGGCAUAGCAAGUCUGAAGUGAAAGCCCGUGGCUCAAC